RNAcentral lists this ribosomal RNA (1251 nucleotides) under Triticum aestivum (bread wheat). Its description in RNAcentral is "partial small subunit ribosomal RNA". Lineage: Eukaryota; Viridiplantae; Streptophyta; Magnoliopsida; Poales; Poaceae. The record is from RNAcentral.
AUGGCUCACAACGCGGCCGCUGCAGUUGAUCCCGGCGAAGGCCUCCGGGCACCCGAUACGUCGUCAAGGCACGUCGUGGAGAGCGUGACGCACGAUUUCCAGGUGACCAACUAUCCGCUACUCGGAGGCAUGCGUGUCAGAAAGUACAUUAGCUCGAGCACGUUCGCCGUCGGCGGCUACGACUGGAACAUCGUGUUCUACCCGGACGGAGACGACGAGGACUGUGCAGGGCACGCGUCGGCCUUCUUGUGUUAUCUUAGCCAGGCCAAGGACGAGGUGAGGACAAACUUGACCUUCACCAUGCUGAACGAUCAAGGCAACGUACAAGCAACCCAUCAGGUACCGGAGUUCAUCUUUUCUACAGGGGUAGAAAAUGAUAGCCUGGGAUUUCCCAAAUUUGUCGAGAAAUCGAAGCUGAAAUCGUCAUCUCGCCUCCUAACGAUAAGAUGCGUUCUCGCCGUGAUCAAAGAACCACCAGCGGAGUGCAAGAGAUACCUUAUCGUGGACCCUCCACCGGAGCUGUCCGGCCGCCUCCACCGCGCCCUCAAGAACGGGAGAGGCACCGACAUCACGCUCCUCGUGGGCGGCAGGGAGUUCAGCGCGCACAGGUUCAUGCUUGCCGCACGGUCGCCCGUCUUCGAAUCGCUCUUUGGCCCGAUGAUGGAUAAGGACACACGGUGCGUAGAGAUUGCCGACAUGGAGCCAGCCAUCUUCGAGAUGCUUCUGCAUUACGUCUACACGGAUUCACUGCCGCCGUGUGGUGAAGGCGAUUACGAUGCAGCCACGAUGCAGCAUUUGCUAGUCGGUGCGGUCCGGUACGGGCUGGACAGGUUGAAGGUGAUGUGCGAAAAGAGGUUGUGCAGAAACAUCGACGCGAGCACAGUCAUGAGCACAUUGGCACUAGCAACUCAUCACAACUCUGACCAGCUAAAGGAUGCAUGCCUAGAGUUUAUAUCGUCGUCGCGGGAAGUCAUGGAUACAGUCGUGGUAACCGACGGGUUCCAACACCUCAUGGCAAAUUGCCCCAUGCUAGAUUUGCCGAAGAACACCGGGGGAAAAGUAACCAUCAAGAGUAAGGAUGGCAAUUUUACCCACGGGUACGGGUACCCGCGGGUACCGUACCCGCAUGGGCAGGGUAUGGACACACUUUUAUACCCAUGGGUAGUACCCAUACCCUACCCAUUAAGUCAUGGGUAGGGUACGGGUAUAACCUUGUACCCGCGGGUAUACCCAUACCCUGCCCGUUUGUGA